This 269-nucleotide ribosomal RNA is filed under the name uncultured prokaryote. RNAcentral's name for it is "partial 16S ribosomal RNA". It matches the Rfam family "Bacterial small subunit ribosomal RNA", at positions 524 to 792 of the family's 1533-position model. The record is from RNAcentral.
UACGGAGGGUGCAAGUGUUAUUCGGAAUCACUGGGCGUAAAGAGCACGUAGGCGGAUAGGCAAGUCAGAUGUGAAAUCCCGGAGCUCAACUACGGAACUGCAUUUGAUACUGCCUGUCUUGAGUGAGGUAGAGGGGAGUGGAAUUCCCGGUGUAGAGGUGAAAUUCGUAGAUAUCGGGAGGAACACCAGAGGCGAAGGCGACUCCCUGGGCCUCUACUGACGCUGAGGUGCGAAAGCGUGGGGAGCAAACAGGAUUAGAUACCCGGGUA